RNAcentral lists this ribosomal RNA (253 nucleotides) under uncultured bacterium. RNAcentral's name for it is "partial 16S ribosomal RNA". It matches the Rfam family "Bacterial small subunit ribosomal RNA", at positions 524 to 776 of the family's 1533-position model. The record is from RNAcentral.
UACGGAAGGGGCAAGCGUUGUUCGGAAUCAUUGGGCGUAAAGGGCGCGUAGGUGGUUCUGUAUGUCUACCGUGAAAGCAUACAGCUCAACUGUAUUUUGUCGGUAGAAACUGCAGUACUUGAGGCUGGGAGGGGCUGGUGGAAUUCCCUGUGUAGCGGUGAAAUGCGUAGAGAUGGGGGAGAACACUCGUGGCGAAGGCGGCCAGCUAGACCAGUUCUGACACUGAGGCGCGACAGCGUGGGGAGCAAACAGG